This 74-nucleotide transfer RNA is filed under the name Mesocricetus auratus (golden hamster). It matches the Rfam family "tRNA". From Rfam's summary of the family: Transfer RNA (tRNA) molecules are approximately 80 nucleotides in length. Their secondary structure includes four short double-helical elements and three loops (D, anti-codon, and T loops). Lineage: Eukaryota; Metazoa; Chordata; Mammalia; Rodentia; Cricetidae. The record is from Rfam by way of RNAcentral.
GGAGAAGUGGCUCAGCAGUUAAGAGUGCUUGGCUGCUCUUCCAGAGGACCUGAGUUUGAUUCUCAGCACCUACA